This 468-nucleotide ribosomal RNA is filed under the name uncultured bacterium. RNAcentral's name for it is "partial 16S ribosomal RNA". It matches the Rfam family "Bacterial small subunit ribosomal RNA", at positions 28 to 523 of the family's 1533-position model. The record is from RNAcentral.
GAUGAACGCUGGCGGCGUGCCUAACACAUGCAAGUCGAGCGAUUUACUUCGGUAAAGAGCGGCGGACGGGUGAGUAACGCGUGGGUAACCUGCCCUGUACACACGGAUAACAUACCGAAAGGUAUGCUAAUACGAGAUAAUAUACUUUUAUCUCAUGGUAGAAGUAUCAAAGCUCUGGCGGUACAGGAUGGACCCGCGUCUGAUUAGCUAGUUGGUAAGGUAACGGCUUACCAAGGCGACGAUCAGUAGCCGACCUGCGAGGGUGAUCGGCCACAUUUGAACGGGGACACGGUCCAAACACCUACGGGGUGCAGCAGUGGGGAAUAUUGCACAAUGGGCGAAAGCCUGAUGCAGCAACGCCGCGUGAGCGAUGAAGGCCUUCGGGUCGUAAAGCUCUGUCCUCAAGGAAGAUAAUGACGGUACUUGAGGAGGAAGCCCCGGCUAACUACGUGCCAGCCGCCGCGGUAA